UACGUAGGGUGCGAGCGUUGUCCGGAAUUACUGGGCGUAAAGCGUGCGCAGGCGGUUAUGUAAGACAGAUGUGAAAUGCCCGGGCUUAACCUGGGAACUGCAUUUGUGACUGCAUGGCUAGAAUCUGGCAGAGGGGGGUAGAAUUCCACGUGUAGCAGUGAAAUGCGUAGAUAUCGGAAGGAACACCAGUGGCGAAAGCGGCUUCCUGGUCCGACACCGACGUUCAGGCACGAAAGCGUGGGGAGCAAACAGG
Molecule: ribosomal RNA, 253 nt
Filed under: uncultured bacterium
Lineage: Bacteria
Description: partial 16S ribosomal RNA
Rfam family: Bacterial small subunit ribosomal RNA
Source: RNAcentral